Molecule: ribosomal RNA, 375 nt
Filed under: uncultured bacterium
Lineage: Bacteria
Description: bacterial SSU rRNA
Rfam family: Bacterial small subunit ribosomal RNA
Source: RNAcentral
UACGGAGGGUGCAAGCGUUAAUCGGAAUUACUGGGCGUAAAGCGCACGCAGGCGGUCUGUCAAGUCGGAUGUGAAAUCCCCGGGCUCAACCUGGGAACUGCAUUCGAAACUGGCAGGCUAGAGUCUUGUAGAGGGGGGUAGAAUUCCAGGGGUAGCGGUGAAAUGCGUAGAGAUCUGGAGGAAAACCGGUGGCGAAGGCGGCCCCCUGGACAAAGACUGACGCUCAGGUGCGAAAGCGUGGGGAGCAAACAGGAUUAGAUACCCUGGUAGUCCACGCCGUAAACGAUGUCGAUUUGGAGGUUGUGCCCUUGCGGCGUUGCUUCCGGAGCUAACGCGUUAACUCGCCCGCCUGGGGAGUACGGCCGCAAGGUUAAA